UUUGCGGAAGCCGAAAAGCAAAUAGAGUAGGCA
Molecule: non-coding RNA, 33 nt
Organism: Chryseobacterium soli
Lineage: Bacteria; Pseudomonadati; Bacteroidota; Flavobacteriia; Flavobacteriales; Weeksellaceae
Source: Rfam